RNAcentral lists this ribosomal RNA (314 nucleotides) under Aetana kinabalu. RNAcentral describes it as "partial 12S ribosomal RNA". The record is from RNAcentral. Lineage: Eukaryota; Metazoa; Arthropoda; Arachnida; Araneae; Pholcidae.
AGUAGUAGUAUACAACAAAACCAAUAUAUAAUGGCGGUCUAACUAAUUUAGAGGAACUCGCUUUAUAAUCGACAAUACCCGAUAAUUCUUCACUUAUUUCAUAAACUCAUAUACCGCCGUUACAGUCUUAUAAUAAUUUCACUUCAAAAUAUUACUCGACAAUAAAAAAUCAGGUCAAGGUGUGGUAAUCUAUAAGAUUAAGUAAGUUACAAUAAAAAAAAAUUAAGAAAAGGCUUCAAAACGAAAAUCAAAAAAAAGAAUUUAUAUGUACAAACAAAUUAAAAAUUAAUAUAGAAAAAUCCUAGUUUAGACGC